Molecule: small nuclear RNA, 68 nt
Filed under: Schistocephalus solidus
Lineage: Eukaryota; Metazoa; Platyhelminthes; Cestoda; Diphyllobothriidea; Diphyllobothriidae
Description: U5 spliceosomal RNA
Rfam family: U5 spliceosomal RNA
About the family: U5 RNA is a component of both types of known spliceosome. The precise function of this molecule is unknown, though it is known that the 5' loop is required for splice site selection and p220 binding, and that both the 3' stem-loop and the Sm site are important for Sm protein binding and cap methylation.
Source: Rfam by way of RNAcentral
GGCAUCCCCUCAAUUGCAGAUAAAUCUUUCGCCUUUUACUAAAGAUUUCCGUGUGGGGGUGCAAUAAA